CUCAUUUUUAUAGGCAGGAAACACGCCCACAGAGAAGCAGAGUCUGAGGUAGAGAUUCAGGUGCACAUGGUAAGUGCUCUUCAGGAAACACCUGUGAGGUGUCAAGUAUCUUUUCCAACCACAAUGGUAUGAAACUAGAAAUUAGUAACAGGAGAAAACUGGAAAAUUCACAAAUAUGUGGAAAUUAGACAAUACACUUCUGAACAACGAAUGGGUGAAAGAAGAAAUCAAAAGGGAUAUCAAAAAAUAUCUUGAAACAAACAAAAAUGAAAACACAACACAUCAAAACUUAUGGGAUGCAGCAAAAGCAGUCCUAAGAGGUAAGUUCUUAGUGAUAAAUGACUGCAUUAAGAAAAAAGAAAAAUCUUAAAUAAACAACUUAACUUUACACCUCCAGGAACUAGAAAAAGGAGAACACACUAAGCUCAAAGUUAGAAGAAAGAAAGAAAGAACAAAGAUCAGAGCAGAAAUAAAUGAAAUCGAGACCAGAAAAACAAUACAAAAGAUCAACAAAACUAAGAGUUGGUUUUUUAAAAAGAUAAACAGAACUGACAAAGCUUUAGCUAGACUAAACAAGAAAAAAAGGGAGAAGACAAAAUCAGAAGUGAAAGAGGAGAUGUUACAACUGAUGGCACAGAAAUACAAAGGAUCAUAAGAAACUGCUACAAAUAAUUAUAUGCCAACAAAUUGGAUAAUCUAGAAGAAAUGGAUGCAUUCCCAGAAACAUACAACCUAACAAGACUGAAUCAAGAAGAAACAGAAAAUCUGAACAGACCAAUAAUAAGGAGAUCGAAUCAGUAAUCAAAAAUCUCCCAACAAAGAAAAGCCUAAGACCAGAUAACUUUACUAAAUUCUACCAAACAUUUAAAGAAUUAAUACCAAUCCUUCUCAAACUCUGCCAAAAAACUGAAGUGGAGGGAAUACUUCCAAACUCAUUUCACAAGGUCAGCAUUACCAUGAGCCAGACAAGAACACUACAAGAAAACAAAACUAGAGUUCAAAAUCCCUGAUGAACAUAGAUGCAAAAACCCUCAACGAAAUACCAGCAAACCAAAUUUAACAGCACCUUAAAAGGAUUGUACACCAUGAUCAAGUGGGAUUUAUCCCUGGGAUGCAAGCAUGGUUCAAUAGAUGCAAACCAAUAAAUGUGAUAUAGCGCAUUAACAGAAUGAAGGAUUAAAAUCAUAUGACCAUCUCAAUAGAUGCAGAAAUUCAACGUUCUUUCAUGAUACAAACUCUCAAUAAAUUAGAUAUAAAGGAAUGUGCCUGAACAUAAUAAAGGCUAU
Molecule: long non-coding RNA, 1286 nt
Filed under: Equus caballus (horse)
Lineage: Eukaryota; Metazoa; Chordata; Mammalia; Perissodactyla; Equidae
Description: lncRNA (ENSECAG00000048920.1)
Source: RNAcentral